Molecule: microRNA, 21 nt
Filed under: Scyliorhinus torazame (cloudy catshark)
Lineage: Eukaryota; Metazoa; Chordata; Chondrichthyes; Carcharhiniformes; Scyliorhinidae
Description: Sto-Mir-451_5p (mature (guide))
Source: RNAcentral
AAACCGUUACCAUUACUUGUU